GGCAGAAAUGACUCAACAAGGUGAAGGAAUGAAGAAGAACUGAUGACUAGCUCCUCGUGCUGUCUGUUGAGACAAGCCCAGUGCAGCCAAGGUAGCAAUCUGCUGUCCCUCGGAUAUGGUUUGAGGAUUCACCUGGACAGCAAGUCUCAGCCCCCAAAAUCCAACCUGAAUGGAAAGAAAUGGAUGAAGGAGGAGAAUCACUGCCUGGACUGUUUUGUACUGACUGUGAGACCCUACCAUACAGCCAGCCUAUUCUCCUUCUAGAAGGGAUUGCACUUGUGAACUGCAGAGUCCUUUUGAUUGAAACAGUCCCCAUAAACUUGCCCUGAGAGCAACACAGGAAAUUCCUAUGUCAGCAGUGAGAACAGCAAAAUGCACUGAACAGUUGAGGAGAAGGUCUCAGGACAGCGGCUCUGAGCCCCCCCAGGGCAAGGGUCCCCACUGCUACCCUUGGAAACAGGCUUUAAUUUGUGCUUUCCUGCUGUGGCACAUGGGCAGUGGCUUUAAACACUCCCCAUGACAAUCGCUUAGCCAGCAAAGGAAUUUCUCUGCUGUAAACAGGUGCUGUCAGUGCACCAAGUAAACCCAUGGCUUCCUAAGCUGAUUUCCUAACCCUGGAAUCUCGUAGUUUCACAAAUUAAUGAUAUUCCCUGUAGCAGGAAGGGAGCAGCUCUGUCACAAUCGUUUACCAAGUCCCUACUACAUUAUCAUUUCACCCAGUGCCACCUGUAGGUCACCCAGAAGACGCAAGGUCUCCCCAGCAC
RNAcentral lists this long non-coding RNA (764 nucleotides) under Anas platyrhynchos platyrhynchos (common mallard). RNAcentral's name for it is "lncRNA (ENSAPLG00000028903.1)". Lineage: Eukaryota; Metazoa; Chordata; Aves; Anseriformes; Anatidae. The record is from RNAcentral.